UACGGGGGGGGCAAGCGUUGUUCGGAAUUACUGGGCGUAAAGGGCUCGUAGGUGGCCAACUAAGUCAGACGUGAAAUCCCUCGGCUUAACCGGGGAACUGCGUCUGAUACUGGAUGGCUUGAGUUUGGGAGAGGGACGCGGAAUUCCAGGUGUAGCGGUGAAAUUCGUAGAUAUCGGGAGGAACACCAGUGGCGAAGGCGGCGACCUGGGCCAAUACUGACGCUGAGGUGCGAAAGCGUGGGGAGCAAACAGG
Molecule: ribosomal RNA, 253 nt
Filed under: uncultured bacterium
Lineage: Bacteria
Description: partial 16S ribosomal RNA
Rfam family: Bacterial small subunit ribosomal RNA
Source: RNAcentral